Molecule: ribosomal RNA, 774 nt
Filed under: uncultured Neocallimastigales
Lineage: Eukaryota; Fungi; Neocallimastigomycota; Neocallimastigomycetes; Neocallimastigales
Description: partial large subunit ribosomal RNA
Rfam family: Eukaryotic large subunit ribosomal RNA
Source: RNAcentral
AGAGAGAGACAUGCGCGCAUAUCAAUAAGCGGAGGAAAAGAAACUAACUAGGAUUCCCUCAGUAACGGCGAGUGAAGCGGGAAGAGCUCAAAUUUGAAAUCUUCAAGGUUCUACCUUGACGAAUUGUAGUUUAAAGAAGUGUUUUCUGUUGGAGUUUUGGUAAAAGUUCUUUGGAAUAGGACAUCAUAGAGGGUGAGAAUCCCGUAUUUGACCAUUAUUUCCAGCUUUGUGAUACACUUUCAAAGAGUCGGAUUGUUUGGGAAUGCAGUCCAAAAUGGGUGGUAAAUUUCAUCUAAAGCUAAAUAUUGGCGAGAGACCGAUAGCGAACAAGUACCGUGAGGGAAAGAUGAAAAGAACUUUGAAAAGAGAGUUAAACAGUACGUGAAAUUGUCAAAAGGGAAGCGUUUGACACCAGUGUUGUUUUUCUGAAAAUCAAUUAAAGAACUGUUUAUGCUAAGCUGUUUAGACUUUAUCAGCUAUCUGUUUAGUUUUGAGCUUUUCUUUAAUGCACUUUUCAGUUAACAAGUCAACAUCAAUUUCUUUUGCUGUAAAAAAGCUUGAGGAAGGUGGCUUGAGAUUCGUCUUAAGUGUUUAUAGCCUCUUGCCUAUGCAGUCGGAGAGAUUGAGGUCUGCAGCGUAGAUCCUUCGGGGCUAAAUGCAUUUGUGCUAAGUUAUAGCAUUUUAUAGACAACUUGUUGACUAUGAUUUAGUCUUGUAGCUUACUCGCUUAUGUUAUUUUACCUACGCUUAGGAUGUUGAUGUGAUACUGCGAGC